UAGCACAGAACUCCUGAUAAAUUGUCUCUCUCUCCUUCCUUUAUUUCUCUUGCUUGUCAUAUUGCAUUGGCCAGACCAUUCAUUAUCAAGUUGCGUGUUAGCUGGAAUGGCACCUAACUUAUCCAGGCAAUAGUUCUCUCACCUGAAAAAAGGAAUUCCUGAGACUCAUCUCAGGGUUGUCAUAAAUAUUAAGUAAUCUAAGAAAUUUAAAAUACUUAGCUUAGUACCUGUCAUGCACUAAGUACCCAACACGCACUAGGUGCUGUCAUCACCCACACAAAGUUCUGGUUAUCUAGGGAGGAGGACUUUCUUGUGACCCAGAGAGGUGCCCAGUUGUUCUCUGGGCUCCUGCUUGGCCCUGCCAGGUGUCUCCUUUUCACUGUACCUAGUAGUUUACUGCAUAUUUUCCCUCACACAGGUACCUAUACAAACUCCGUGAUCUUCACCUGGACUGUGACAAUUACACAGAGGCUGCCUACACGCUCCUUCUCCACACCUGGCUUCUCAAGUGGUCGGAUGAGCAGUGUGCAUCACAGGUCAUGCAGACAGGCCAGCAG
This 557-nucleotide small RNA is filed under the name Pongo abelii (Sumatran orangutan). RNAcentral describes it as "retained intron". The record is from RNAcentral. Lineage: Eukaryota; Metazoa; Chordata; Mammalia; Primates; Hominidae.